Long non-coding RNA from Penaeus monodon (black tiger shrimp), 400 nucleotides. RefSeq lists it as uncharacterized. NCBI's taxonomy places the organism in Eukaryota, Metazoa, Arthropoda, Malacostraca, Decapoda, Penaeidae. The record is from RefSeq and is a predicted model, not a curated record. The transcript has 4 exons.
CCCCUCCCCCUAUAUACACACACCCCUCCCUCCAACCCCCCUUCUCUCACACACACUCAAAGGUCUUCCGUACAAUUCAAAGAAAGUGGAAGGACCCAAAGAAGGGAGUCAGUCUGGCGAAGGAGGGCGACCCGACUACACGCGUGAAGAUGAAGGUCCGGAUUGCAAUUGCCCUGCUCCUGGCAACCCUGAUGAUCGUUACUCAUGCACUUGCAACGCCGUUCCUCAGGCUGAAGGUGCCAACGGCCUCGUUUGAUUUCAAAAACCAAUUUCAGAAAUUCUGGGCUCGAUGGAGGCCCCACCAGGACGACCGCUACUGGCAUGGCUUCGACAUCGACGGAUACACGAAGAACGGUUAGGCCUAAGGAUCCCGAGAGGAGCUCCGUGGGAACUUCCGGUA